GCAGAGUAGAAUUCGAAGCGUUAAGUGUUGGCUGGACAGGGAGUUGUCAGCUGAACGAAAAAAUUGAAAAAUUUUGCGGUUUCGAGUUCGCAUCCCGCUGC
This 101-nucleotide non-coding RNA is filed under the name bovine gut metagenome. RNAcentral's name for it is "THF riboswitch". It matches the Rfam family "THF (Tetrahydrofolate) riboswitch aptamer". Rfam says of the family: THF riboswitch presents a pseudoknot that joins P1-P2 and the loop of P3 and two THF binding. The record is from RNAcentral.